UCUGAUUCCCUGGCUGAACUCUGAGACCUUGGGGCUUAUCCCUGUGGAUCAACUUGCUCUGUCAGAUGCCGUCUCUAGUGGACCUCCCUCUCCAGACUCCUGCUCACACUGGCUUCCUAAGAUGAAGCAUUUGAAUGUGGAUUUUCCCUGCCACAGCUUCCUACCUGUGUGGGCAAGAGAUCCCUGGCCCGGAACGUGGGACCCUUGGAUCCUCUCUGACCUGAACGAGCACUACAAGUGAGAUGCCACACUCUGCCCUGACUUCGAUGGAGAACCAGCAGAAAGCAAGACCGCCAGUCAGCUCCGCCACUCACACAAAUCUUCUAAUAAUUAGCAAUCACUGGGGGAAAUACAGGAAAUCAAUUCCAGUUGAAAGAUUUUAAGGAAAUAAGUGAGAUGAGAAGAGUAGACCGAUCUACUGGAAUAUCCAUCUGCAGCACACCCAUGAAAAGUGAUCUCCUGAGGAAUAUUUUCAGGUAAAUUGGAAC
Vicugna pacos (alpaca) is the source of this 488-nucleotide non-coding RNA. NCBI's taxonomy places the organism in Eukaryota, Metazoa, Chordata, Mammalia, Artiodactyla, Camelidae. The record is from RefSeq and is a predicted model, not a curated record.